This 2506-nucleotide long non-coding RNA is filed under the name Salmo salar (Atlantic salmon). RNAcentral's name for it is "lncRNA (ENSSSAG00000105837.1)". The record is from RNAcentral. Lineage: Eukaryota; Metazoa; Chordata; Actinopteri; Salmoniformes; Salmonidae.
UGUCACCAUGUCAGCCUGUCUGUGUCCCUGUCACCAUGUCAGCCUGUCUGUGUCCUGUCACCAUGUCAGCCUGUCUGUGUCCUGUCACCAUGUCAACCUGUCUGUGUCCUGUCACCAUGUCAGCCUGUCUGUGUCCCUGUCACCAUGUCAGCCUGUCUGUGUCCUGUCACCAUGUCAGCCUGUCUGUGUCCCUGUCACCAUGUCAGCCUGUCUGUGUCCUGUCACCAUGUCAGCCUGUCUGUGUCCUGUCACCAUGUCAGCCUGUGUCACUGUCACCAGGUUAGCAUGUCUGUGUCCCUGUCACCCUGUCAGCCUGUCUGUGUCCCUGUCACCAUGUUAGCCUGUCUGUGUCCCUGUCACCCUGUCAGCCUGUCUGUGUCUCUGUCAGCCUGUCUGUGUCCCUGUCACCAUGUCAGCCUGUGUCCCUGUCACCAUGUUAGCCUGUCUGUGUCCCUGCCACCAUGUCAGCCUGUCUAUGUCCCUGUCACCAUGUCAGCCUGCGUCCCUGUCACCCUGUCAACCUGUCUGUGUCCUGUCAUGACACUCUCUGACUCCCCAGAAAUAUUGACAUUCAUAGUUAAUUCAAUCUUCCUUUCAUUGAACCCACUCAAGUCCCGUCUCAGAACCCACCAUCACAGCAGCUAGACACACCAUAGAAGACCCCGUGGUGCAACCGAAGGGGCCCCACACACUCUAUAUAUAAAUCAUCAACCUCUAAACUCUGUCAGAAAGCCGGGCCUGGGAAAGAAUCCCGGUCAGGUUAUGGAAUGAUAUCCGAUCCGGCCAGAGAGAGAGAGCAACGGAGGGUUUAAAGGGUUUAUGCAGUGAGCUCUGGGAUAGAAGGGAAAAGGUAGGUCUCUUCCUGGUCUCUCUCCCAGUCUCUCCCAGUCUCUCCUGGUCUCUUCAACUCUCUUCCAGCCUUUUCCAGUCUUUCCUGAUGUCUCUCGCCUAGUCUCUCUCCCAGUCUCUCUCCCAGUCUCUCUCCAGUCUCUCUCCAGUCUCUCUCCAGUCUCUCUCCAGUCUCUAUCCCAGUCUCUCUCCAGUCUCUCCCCAGUCUCUAUCCCAGUCUCUAUCCCAUCUCUCUCCAGUCUCUCUCCCAGUCUCUCUCCCAGUCUCUCUCCCAGUCUCUCUCCAGUCUCUCUCCCAGUCUCUCUCCAGUCUCUAUCCCAGUCUCUCUCCAGUCUCUCGCCAGUCUCUCUCCCAGUCUCUCUCCAGUCUCUAUCCUAGUCUCUCUCUCCAGUCUAUCUCUCCAGUCUCUAUCCCAGUGUUUAUCCCAGUCUCUCUCUCCAGUCUCUCUCUCCAGUCUCUCUCUCCAGUCUCUAUCCCAGUCUCUCUCUCCAGUCUCUAUCCCAGUCUCUCUCUCCAGUCUCUCUCUCCAGUCUCUAUCCCAGUCUCUCUCUCCAGUCUCUCUCUCCAGUCUCUAUCCCAGUCUCUCUCUCCAGUCUAUCUCUCCAGUCUCUAUCCCAGUCUCUCUCUCCAGUCUCUCUCUCCAGUCUCUCUCUCCAGUCUCUCUCUCCAGUCUCUAUCCCAGUCUUUAUCCCAGUCUCUCUCUCCAGUCUCUAUCCCAGUCUCUCUCUCCAGUCUCUCUCUCCAGUCUCUCUCUCCAGUCUCUCCCUCCAGUCUAACUCUCCAGUCUCUCCCUCCAGUCUCUCUCUCCAGUCUCUCUCUCCAGUCUCUCUCUCCAGUCUCUAUCCCAGUCUCUAUCCCAGUCUCUCCCUCCAGUCUCUCUCUCCAGUCUCUAUCCCAGUCUCUAUCCCAGUCUCUCUCUCUCCAGUCUCUCUCUCCAGACUCUCUCUCCAGACUCUCUCUCCAGUCUCUAUCCCAGCCUCUCCCAGCUCUGAAGCCGAUUGUCCUGGCUGGGUUAAUUGGGAUUUCCCCCGAUGGGAGUGCCGGAGCGUGGAAAGGAAAGUUUCGGCUCAGCGGUCCAAGGAAAACAAGGCUUGGAUGUGGAUGUGCACCACGGGUAGUUAGGAAUGGGAACAACAUCGCAAUAAAGGAAAAUAAAUAAGAUGGGGGAGGAGGAGGAGAGUAAGAAGGGAGGGGUGAAGGAGGAGGGGAGAGUGGGGGAUACGCAAUUGCAGGAUAAAUUAAGUGGCUGAGUCCCAACACUAGACACCAGACACACAGACACCAGACAUACAGAGGAAAACCUGCAACCCCCUUCUAACCCUGCUCAUUGUGAGCUACAAGGGGGGUAUAAGGGACAGAGAAGGCAGGAGGGAGAUAGAGGGGGCUGUCUCUCUAUCUAUCUGUCUGACAGUCUGGUUUUAAUGGAAAAAGGAAUAGAUUCCCUCCUCCUUCAUAAAGGGUGAUCCUCAUGAGGAACUCAAUGACCAGGGCUUUGAAAGUGUUGAACCGACAGACAGACAGCAAAUCCCCCAACGCUUUCAACUCUGAGAAGAGGGGGAUUGUGAGUAGAUGGAGGGUUAUAAGGGGUGCUGAGGGGGGAUUGAUGGGUGGAUGGGGAGUUAUAAGGGGUGCUGAGGGGGGAUUAGGGGAGGAUGGG